GACGAACGCUGGCGGCGUGCUUAACACGUGCAAGUCGAACGGAAAGGCCCCUUUGGGGGUACUCGAGUGGCGAACGGGUGAGUAACACGUGAGUAACCUGCCCUUGACUUCGGGAUAACUUCAGGAAACUGGGGCUAAUACCGGAUAGGAAUCCUUGCUGCAUGGUGGGGGCUGGAAAGCUUCGGCGGUUUUGGAUGGACUCGCGGCUUAUCAGCUUGUUGGUGGGGUAGUGGCUUACCAAGGCUUUGACGGGUAGCCGGCCUGAGAGGGCGACCGGCCACAUUGGGACUGAGAUACGGCCCAGACUCCUACGGGAGGCAGCAGUGGGGAAUAUUGCACAAUGGGCGGAAGCCUGAUGCAGCAACGCCGCGUGCGGGAUGACGGCCUUCGGGUUGUAAACCGCUUUCAGCAGGGGCGAAGCUUUUGUGACGGUACCUGCAGAAGAAGCACCGGCUAACUACGUG
This 464-nucleotide ribosomal RNA is filed under the name uncultured bacterium. Its description in RNAcentral is "partial 16S ribosomal RNA". It matches the Rfam family "Bacterial small subunit ribosomal RNA", at positions 28 to 507 of the family's 1533-position model. The record is from RNAcentral.